GGUCAUUUAGAGGAAGUAAAAGUCGUAACAAGGUCUCCGUUGGUGAACCAGCGGAGGGAUCAUUACCGAGUUUACAACUCCCAAACCCCUGUGAACAUACCACUUGUUGCCUCGGCGGAUCAGCCCGCUCCCGGUAAAACGGGACGGCCCGCCAGAGGACCCCUAAACUCUGUUUCUAUAUGUAACUUCUGAGUAAAACCAUAAAUAAAUCAAAACUUUCAACAACGGAUCUCUUGGUUCUGGCAUCGAUGAAGAACGCAGCAAAAUGCGAUAAGUAAUGUGAAUUGCAGAAUUCAGUGAAUCAUCGAAUCUUUGAACGCACAUUGCGCCCGCCAGUAUUCUGGCGGGCAUGCCUGUUCGAGCGUCAUUUCAACCCUCAAGCACAGCUUGGUGUUGGGACUCGCGUUAAUUCGCGUUCCUCAAAUUGAUUGGCGGUCACGUCGAGCUUCCAUAGCGUAGUAGUAAAACCCUCGUUACUGGUAAUCGUCGCGGCCACGCCGUUAAACCCCAACUUCUGAAUGUUGACCUCGGAUCAGGUAGGAAUACCCGCUGAACUUAAGCAUAUCAAUAAGCGGAGGA
Molecule: ribosomal RNA, 579 nt
Filed under: Fusarium sp. P76
Lineage: Eukaryota; Fungi; Ascomycota; Sordariomycetes; Hypocreales; Nectriaceae
Description: eukaryotic LSU rRNA
Rfam family: 5.8S ribosomal RNA (bases 214-367)
Source: RNAcentral